GACGAACGCUGGCGGCGUGCUUAACACAUGCAAGUCGAACGGAAAGGCCCUGCUUUUGUGGGGUGCUCGAGUGGCGAACGGGUGAGUAACACGUGAGUAACCUGCCCUUGACUUUGGGAUAACUUCAGGAAACUGGGGCUAAUACCGGAUAGGAGCUCCUGCUGCAUGGUGGGGGUUGGAAAGUUUCGGCGGUUGGGGAUGGACUCGCGGCUUAUCAGCUUGUUGGUGGGGUAGUGGCUUACCAAGGCUUUGACGGGUAGCCGGCCUGAGAGGGUGACCGGCCAAAUUGGGACUGGGAUACGGCGCAGACUACUACGGGAGGCAGAAGUGAGGAAUAUUGCACGAUGGGCGGAAGCCUGAUGCAGCAACGCCGCGUGCGGGAUGACGGCCUUCGGGUUGAAAACCGCUUUCGCCUGUGACGAAGCGUGAGUGACGGUAAUGGGUAAAGAAGCACCGGCUAACUACGUG
RNAcentral lists this ribosomal RNA (468 nucleotides) under uncultured bacterium. Its description in RNAcentral is "partial 16S ribosomal RNA". It matches the Rfam family "Bacterial small subunit ribosomal RNA", at positions 28 to 507 of the family's 1533-position model. The record is from RNAcentral.